This 301-nucleotide ribosomal RNA is filed under the name uncultured bacterium. RNAcentral describes it as "partial 16S ribosomal RNA". It matches the Rfam family "Bacterial small subunit ribosomal RNA", at positions 509 to 809 of the family's 1533-position model. The record is from RNAcentral.
CAGCAGCCGCGGGAAUACAGAGGAUGCAAGCGUUAUCCGGAAUGAUUGGGCGUAAAGGGCUCGCAGGCGGUUGUGUAAGACAGGUGUGAAAUCCCCGGGCUUAACCUGGGAACUGCGCUUGUGACUGCACAGCUAGCGUAUGGCAGAGGGGGGUGGAAUUCCACGUGUAGCAGUGAAAUGCGUAGAGAUGUGGAGGAACACCGAUGGCGAAGGCAGCCCCCUGGGCCAAUACUGACGCUCAUGCACGAAAGCGUGGGGAGCAAACAGGAUUAGAUACCCCUGUAGUCCCUGUCUCUUAUAA